CCUACGGGAGGCUGCAGUGAGGAAUAUUGGUCAAUGGGCGGAAGCCUGAACCAGCCAAGUAGCGUGCGGGAUGAAGGCCCUACGGGUCGUAAACUGCUUUUGCACGGGGAUAACACCCUCCACUUGUGGAGGUCUGCAGGUACCGUGCGAAUAAGGGCCGGCUAAUUCCGUGCCAGCAGCCGCGGUAAUACGGAAGGCCCGAGCGUUAUCCGGAUUCAUUGGGCUUAAAGGGAGCGUAGGCGGGCGUUAAAGUCAGCUGUAAAAUUGCGCGGCUCAACCGCGCCCCGCAGUUGAAACUGGACGCCUUGAGUUCACAACAGGCAGGCGGAAUUCGUGGUGUAGCGGUGAAAUGCAUAGAUAUCACGAAGAACCCCGAUUGCGAAGGCAGCCUGCCGGAGUGCAACUGACGCUGAGGCUCGAAGGUGCGGGUAUCAAACAGGAUUAGAUACCCGGGUAGUC
This 459-nucleotide ribosomal RNA is filed under the name uncultured bacterium. RNAcentral's name for it is "partial 16S ribosomal RNA". It matches the Rfam family "Bacterial small subunit ribosomal RNA", at positions 338 to 795 of the family's 1533-position model. The record is from RNAcentral.